GAAAUGCGAUAAGUAGUGUGAAUUGCAGAAUUCAGUGAAUCAUCGAAUCUUUGAACGCACAUUGCGCCCUUUGGUAUUCUAAAGGGCAUGCCUGUUCGAGCGUCAUUUGUACCCUCAAGCUCUGCUUGCUGUUGGGCGUCUUGUCUCUAGCGUUGCUGGAGACUCGACUUAAAGUAAUUGGCAGGCUGCCGACUGGUUUCGGAACGCAGCACAAGUCGCACUCUGUAUCAGCAAAGGUCUAGCAUCCAUUAAGCCUUUUUUUCAACUUUUGACCUCGGAUCAGGUAGGGAUACCCGCUGAACUUAA
This 306-nucleotide unclassified non-coding RNA is filed under the name uncultured fungus. Its description in RNAcentral is "sequence contains ITS1". The stretch from base 1 to 105 matches the Rfam family "5.8S ribosomal RNA", at positions 50 to 154 of the family's 154-position model. The record is from RNAcentral. Lineage: Eukaryota; Fungi.